AGAGUUGGCUGGACAGUCGCCUGGCUAUUCAUAGUCAGGAGGAAAGUCCGGGCUCCACAGGACAGAGUGCCAGGUAAUCCCUGGGAGGCGUGAGCCUACGGAAAGUGCAGCAGAAAAUAUACCGCCUUUCAAAGGGGGCAGACUUGAUUGAUUAGCUGCAACCUCUAAAUCAAUCAAGUCUGCCCCCUUUGGUGGGUAAGGGUGAAAUGGUGCGGUAAGAGCGCACCGCGCGGGUGGCAACAUUCCGUGGCAAGGUAAACCCCACUCGGAGCAAGACCAAAUAGG
RNAcentral lists this RNase P RNA (285 nucleotides) under Pseudomonadales bacterium. RNAcentral's name for it is "partial RNase P RNA component class A". It matches the Rfam family "Bacterial RNase P class A", at positions 1 to 236 of the family's 367-position model. From Rfam's summary of the family: Ribonuclease P (RNase P) is a ubiquitous endoribonuclease, found in archaea, bacteria and eukarya as well as chloroplasts and mitochondria. Its best characterised activity is the generation of mature 5'-ends of tRNAs by cleaving the 5'-leader elements of precursor-tRNAs. The record is from RNAcentral. Lineage: Bacteria; Pseudomonadati; Pseudomonadota; Gammaproteobacteria; Pseudomonadales.